CUCUAAAUGACCUUAUCUACACCAGGGAAGUAGUUACUGCAUUUUCCCUUGGUUAAUCCCUUCAUCAUGGUAACUCCAACAGGAGUGCUGGAAGCACAAAGAGCUGAUGGAGUUCAGGGGUAGGGGGAACACUCAGACUGUUCAAUAUAGGAGACAGAGAUGCAAAAAAAAAUAAAUCUUUAAAUCAUUUGGACUCUCUUUCACUAGACUACUCUGACCUCGACUGGAAAAGUACCUACAAGCAAGAUUUUGAGCACUGGAAAGGAGUCCGUGGUGCGCUCUACACAGAGGAGAUAAGGCCUUCUCCCGUUUUCCCUGAAGAUAACCGCUUCAAUGAGAGCCGCUGGGUUUCUGAGUAUGCAGACAGCUACAGCAUCUUCCUGAAGAGGCUGGACUGGUCAUCUCCCAUCUCUGCACAAUGGCUGCCCUUUGGGAAGGAUGCACGAUGGACACCGCGAUGGAGAGAGUCCAGUCACUGAGUGGUGCUAGGGUGGCUGUGCUCUUUGGCGCUCCAAGCUGUGUGAUAUUGUUCAUCAGAGACCCUGAAAGCCUUGGAAACCUCAUCUCUACCAAACCUACCACCAUGUCUAUCAGAUGUGAAAAGUUUGCCAAAGACCUCCUUAAGUACAAAUUAUGAUUAAAAUCUCCCAAGAACCUCAGCUUUUAUCAUUGUCAGAAAAAGGUUUUUUUUGCAGGGGGACAAUGAAGGCUACAGAGCUAAAACCACUCAGGCAGUUUCAAUUUAUGUACUUUAAAGACAACUUGGUGAUAAAACUUUGCCUCUCAGUGAGAAGUAGUGUGUGUUAAACAGCAUGGUUGGUGUUAAUUUACUCUCUAAAACCUUGUGCACUUACAGGGAGGGAAAUAUCCAUGUUGUCCAGGGUAGCUGAGUGUCAGUCUUGCAGAGCUCCUUCCCCUCCUUUACGUUUAACAACUUAUUCCAGGUUUUGACCAUCAAUUUCAGCUAAUGCUGGCUAAACGGGAAUUGAGUUUGCCGUGUCCGUUUGGGAUUUGUAGGUUUCUGGAAGGAUCAAGGCUGCUCCCAGCCUGAAGAUGGCAAUGGAGAGCCACCGAUCCCAGACCUGCAAAGGGCUGACAGCCGUCUGCUGUGGCUUUAGUGAUCUGACUGGAUCUUCUAAAUUGAUGCUAAAAUUAUCCCAGAGUAGGUGGUGUAGAGAAACCUCUCCCCAACACCUAAAAGGUAUUCCUUUUAAAGGACAUCCUUGCAGUAUUGAGGGAUAGGCAAGACCUUUUUAACAAAUACAGCUAAAGUGUCAAAAAUAAUGAGAAAAGGAACUUAUUUUACAGUAAUAUCAACUAUCCCCAGACCUGCUGGUGGCAGGACCUAUGUAGACACAGCAGCACCUGCCCCAAGGAGUUCAUCAUCUGAAUUCUGUGGGAUUUAGCAAAAUGAUGUCUGGCAGGGCCAAGCUCCAAGCAGAUGAUACGGGGAAGUAGAAUGGGCCACAAUUUCUGCAAAUCUGCUCUGGUGUGGGGCAUUGCUGAUCACAGCUCAUGCAGCAUUUGGGAUUUCCACUGUAGCUAAGUGUAGCUGACUUGUGGCAAUUUUAGAGGACAGAAAUAUUUAAGUUAAAAAAUAGGGAAAAAUACUUGCUUACCUCAGAGAGGAGACAGAG
Cyanistes caeruleus (blue tit) is the source of this 1637-nucleotide long non-coding RNA. Ensembl lists it as uncharacterized. The record is from Ensembl. Lineage: Eukaryota; Metazoa; Chordata; Aves; Passeriformes; Paridae.